This 162-nucleotide unclassified non-coding RNA is filed under the name Monographella nivalis. RNAcentral describes it as "sequence contains ITS2". The record is from RNAcentral. Lineage: Eukaryota; Fungi; Ascomycota; Sordariomycetes; Amphisphaeriales; Hyponectriaceae.
CACCACUCAAGCUAUGCUUAGCGUUGGGAGACUGCGCUAAACCGCAGCUCCUCAAAACCAGUGGCGGAGUUUAUCGUGCUCUGAGCGUAGUAAUUUCAUUCUCGCUUCUGUAAACCGGUAGACGACAGCCAUAAACCGCACCCUUCGGGGGCACUUUUUAAU